CACGUAGGGACCAAGCGUUGUCCGGAUUUAUUGGGCGUAAAGCGCUCGUAGGCGGUUCGGUAAGUCGGGUGUGAAACCCCUGGGCUCAACCCGGGGACGCCACCCGAUACUGCUGUGACUCGAGUUCGGUAGGGGAGCGGGGAAUUCCUGGUGUAGCGGUGAAAUGCGUAGAUAUCUGGAGGAACACCGGUGGCGAAGGCGGCAUCCUGGACCGACACUGACGCUGAGGAGCGAAAGCCAGGGGAGCGAACGGG
RNAcentral lists this ribosomal RNA (254 nucleotides) under uncultured bacterium. Its description in RNAcentral is "partial 16S ribosomal RNA". It matches the Rfam family "Bacterial small subunit ribosomal RNA", at positions 524 to 776 of the family's 1533-position model. The record is from RNAcentral.